RNAcentral lists this ribosomal RNA (917 nucleotides) under Candidatus Portiera aleyrodidarum (primary endosymbiont of Bemisia tabaci). RNAcentral describes it as "partial 23S ribosomal RNA". It matches the Rfam family "Bacterial large subunit ribosomal RNA", at positions 351 to 1263 of the family's 2925-position model. The record is from RNAcentral. Lineage: Bacteria; Pseudomonadati; Pseudomonadota; Gammaproteobacteria; Johnevansiales (SeqCode); Johnevansiaceae (SeqCode).
AGCACCAAAGAAGGUGACAGUCCCGUAAACGUAAGUUAAAAUCUAGGGUAUCAAUAAGUACGGCGAGACACGAGAAAUCUUGUCGGAAGAUGGGAGGACCAUCUCCUAAGGCUAAAUACUUCUUAGUGACCGAUAGUGAACUAGUACCGUGAGGGAAAGGUGAAAAGAACCCCGAAAGGGGAGUGAAAUAGAUCCUGAAACUGUGUGCCUACAAUUAGUCAAAGCACGUUAAUGUGUGAUGGCUUGCCUUUUGCAGAAUGAACCGGCGAGUUAUGAUAUGGAGCAAGGUUAAGUUUUAAGGAACGGAGCCGUAGCGAAAGCGAGUCUUAAUAGGGCGUUUAGUUGCAUGUCAUAGACCCGAAACUGAAGUGAGCUAGCCAUGAGCAGGUUGAAGUUUAGGUAAAACUAAAUGGAGGACCGAACCAGGACACGUUGAAAAGUGUUUGGAUGACUUGUGGCUAGGGGUGAAAUUCCAAUCGAACUCAGAGAUAGCUGGUUCUCCCCGAAAUAGCUUUAGGGCUAGCGUUGAUUUAGUAAUUUGGUGAAGGAAGAGCACUGAAUGAGUAAGGGCUCCACCUCGGGGUACCGAACUCAAUCAAACUCCGAAUGUUACCAAAUAAAAUCAGCAGUCAGACUGUGGGUGAUAAGGUCCAUGGUCAAAAGGGAAAGAGCCCAGACCGUCAGCUAAGGUCCCAAAAUUGAUGUUAAGUGGCAAAGGAAGUGAAGACGUUUAAACAACUAGGAGGUUGGCUUAGAAGCAGCCAUCCUUUAAAGAGUGCGUAAUAGCUCACUAGUCGAAUGACUCUGCGCCGAAAAUGUACCGGGGCUAAAACAUCAUACCGAAGCUACGGAUUGAAAUAACUUCUUAGUUAUUUGAAUGGUAGGGGAAGCGUUCUGACAUCAGUGAAGCCAUAGCG